RNAcentral lists this ribosomal RNA (495 nucleotides) under DMSP-degrading marine bacterium JA25. Its description in RNAcentral is "partial 16S ribosomal RNA". Lineage: Bacteria; Pseudomonadati; Pseudomonadota; Alphaproteobacteria. The record is from RNAcentral.
GCGACCGUACUCCCCAGGCGGUGAACUUAAUGCGUUAGCUGCGUCACCGAAGUCUAAACCCCGACGACUAGUUCACAUCGUUUACGGCGUGGACUACCAGGGUAUCUAAUCCUGUUUGCUCCCCACGCUUUCGCGCCUCAGCGUCAGUACCGCUCCAGAUAGUCGCCUUCGCCACUGGUGUUCUACCCAAUAUCUACGAAUUUCACCUCUACACUGGGUAUUCCACUAUCCUCUCGCGGACUCUAGACUGUCAGUAUCAAAGGCAGUUCCGAGGUUGAGCCCCGGGAUUUCACCCCUGACUGGACAGUCCGCCUACACGCCCUUUACGCCCAGUAAUUCCGAACAACGCUUGCUCCCUUCGUAUUACCGCGGCUGCUGGCACGAAGUUAGCCGGAGCUUCUUCUAUAGUUACCGUCAUCAUCUUCACUAUUGAAAGAGCUUUACAACCCUAAGGCNUUCUUCACUCACGCGGCAUGGCUGCGUCAGAGUUCCCUC